Molecule: ribosomal RNA, 460 nt
Filed under: uncultured bacterium
Lineage: Bacteria
Description: partial 16S ribosomal RNA
Rfam family: Bacterial small subunit ribosomal RNA
Source: RNAcentral
CCUACGGGAGGCAGCAGUGAGGAAUAUUGGUCAAUGGCCGUAAGGCUGAACCAGCCAAGUAGCGUGAAGGAAGACGGCCCUACGGUUUGUAAACUUCUUUUAUAGGGGAAUAAAGAUAUCCACGUGUGGAUAUUUGCAUGUACUCUAUGAAUAAGCAUCGGCUAACUCCGUGCCAGCAGCCGCGGUAAUACGGAGGAUGCGAGCGUUAUCCGGAUUUAUUGGGUUUAAAGGGUGCGUAGGUUGGUUUUUAAGUCAGCGGUGAAAGUUUGUGGCUCAACCAUAAAAUUGCAGUUGAAACUGGAAGACUUGAGUAUGUUUGAGGUAGGCGGAAUGCGUGGUGUAGCGGUGAAAUGCAUAGAUAUCACGCAGAACUCCGAUUGCGAAGGCAGCUUACUAAGCCGUAACUGACACUGAAGCACGAAAGCGUGGGUAUCAAACAGGAUUAGAUACCCCUGUAGUC